This is a long non-coding RNA of Dioscorea cayenensis subsp. rotundata (Guinea yam), 363 nucleotides long. RefSeq lists it as uncharacterized. The transcript is spliced from 3 exons. The record is from RefSeq and is a predicted model, not a curated record. Lineage: Eukaryota; Viridiplantae; Streptophyta; Magnoliopsida; Dioscoreales; Dioscoreaceae.
UCUACCCCUCCCUUGCUUCCUUCCACCCUCUAAACUCUUCCUCAUCUCCUUUGAAGCUUCUAGAGUGAAGAACCUUAUAGGAGCACUGUAGCGGCGACGAUCAAACCGGGGAGGAGCUCUUCAACUCGUCAACAACUUAGAGGACCACCUUGAGCAUCAUCUUGGAUUUCUUUUGAAUUUAGGAUCACCAAAUCAGGAGCAGUAGACCCAGGGAUCUUAGAAGGCUUCCAGUUGAUGUCUUCUUUGGGAUUUAUGCCUUAAGACUUAUGUCUUUGUAUCAGUUGUAUUAUUGUUUAAGAACCUCCUUGUAGGUCAUGUUGUAUUUUCAUUUACCUUGUAUUCGAGUUGGUUGUAAACCUUAAG